RNAcentral lists this long non-coding RNA (2314 nucleotides) under Sus scrofa (pig). RNAcentral's name for it is "lncRNA (ENSSSCG00060004746.1)". The record is from RNAcentral. Lineage: Eukaryota; Metazoa; Chordata; Mammalia; Artiodactyla; Suidae.
AGUCAAGGGAGGAAGUUCCUGGAGAAGUAGAAGUACUGCGUGGUUAGCGUCCGGUCACUCUUCAGAGCAGCCUUGUACUUACUACGUUUCAGUGUCUCUCCUUGCAGCUUUUCGUAACUUUAACGAACUAUGCUCCUUUCGUGUCUCAGUUUCUAUAUCUGUUUCGCCAAGCGCCGCUCGGAAGGGUUAAUUCAGGAGCGAGCCCUACUGGAAAAGGCGGCUUUGUGUGGAAGUUUGCACCUGGGAGGUGAGAGCUGGACGGAACGUUAAAGAGCCCUGAAGGCUUAACUCUACGCUUCUGAGGUUAAAAAAGAGAGAGAGAGAAAGAAACGGCUCCAGAAAGAGGCGGAUGACACCCCAGGUUACAUGGCAAAAAAGUGACUAAACUGAGAACUCAGGGCACCAAUCUCCCAGUUUCCCCAUUGAGAUUUCAUCCUGUUACAUUUCCCGGCAUCACCUUGUUCUUGCUUUGAACCCUUGCGACUUUUUUUUUGUAGAUGGAAAAGAUUCUUUUAGUUGGUAUUUGGAGACAUCUAGUGAAAGAAUAUGAAAGCAAAGGUCGAGUCCGCAAGUUCUGGUAGUUCGUGGAAUUAAAAAGUGAGCAUGAUUAGAGUUUACAGCUAAAAAUCCUUGGACUUGGAUCUGAAAUUUGCGAAGGUGCUACAAUUUGAUCAGGAGAGUGGGUAAAAUUAAUACUUGCAUUAUUGUUUUAAUUAUUUGUAGCUCUUUUUACUCUAAACGCUGACAUUUUUUUUUAAGGAAUGAAAAAAUGCGCCUUUAGAUAUUUUGAAAGGAUGUUAUUUCAGUAUAUGAGUUAAUAUAUUCCGUGCAGCAGAAUCUUUAUUUGAAAGCACGCUUAUGGAUAAAGGUUAGUCUUUAGUUCACUUACUGAUUCCAUCUGCUCCAUUACCUAGUCUUGCUUAAGUUCUAAGUGCUUAAAAAACUCAUAAGCAGUUUACAGCUCUGCACUUUGCAGCUGUUCGAUCUUUUCCAAAUUCAACAUAUGCAGAUUUUCAGGUUGGCUAUGUGAAGCUAAGUACCACCAAACAUAAUGUUCUACAACAUGGGAAGUAUUUCUGUAAUAGUUAAUGGACUUUAUUAAGUGGGUUGCUUUAGUUUUCCCAGAGCCACCAUUUCUUUUCCACUAUGAAGGGCGGUUUAUAUAAAAAUAGUAUCUUGGAGUUCCCAUAGUGGCUCCAGGAAUGAAUCUGACUAGCAUCCAUGAAGACUCAGGAUCCCUGGCCUUGCUCACUGGGUUGAGGAUCCAGCAUUGGCACUCACAUCCUGAGUUGCUGUGGCAGUGGCAUAGGCCAAGCCACAGCAACGCGGGAUCCGAGCCGCGUCUGCAACCUACACCACAGCUCACGGCAACGCCGGAUCGUUAACCCACUGAGCAAGGGCAGGGACCGAACCCGCAACCCCAUGGUUCCUAGUCGGAUUCGUUAACCACUGCGCCACGACUGGAACUCCUGAAUGAUUUCUUUUUUCUUUUUUUUUUUUUGUCUUUUUGCCAUUUCUAGGGCCGCUCCCUCGGCAUAUGGAGGUUUCCAGGCUAGGGGUCUAAUCUGAGCUGUAGCCGCUGGCCUACACCAGAGCCACAGCAACGCCAGAUCCAAGCCGCAUCUGCAACCUACACCACAGCUCAUGGCAACACUGGAUCCUUAACUCACUGAGCAAGGCCAGGAAUCGAACUGCAACCUCAUGGUUCCUAGUUGGAUUUGUUAACCACUGAGCCACGACGGGAACUCCUUGAAUUAUUUCUGAGUUGAAAAUACAUAUAUAUUUAAAAGUUUAAGUCUUAUUUAUUUAUUUAUUUAUUUGGCCAUGCUUGCAGCAUACAGAAGUUCACAGGCCUGGAGCCACAGCAGUGACUGCAAGAUCCUUAACCUACUAGGCUGCCAGGGAACUCUCCAAAUUUUAAAUUUUUAUGUGGAUAGUGAUAAAUAUAUGUAAAAUGUAUAAAGUGAAACUUGAUAAGAUUAUAAAGAAAAAUGUAUGUGGCCAUAUUAGGUGAUUUUAACAAGCCUUUCCCAGUGAUUAAGACAAGCAAAAAAAAAAAAAAAAUCAUCAUGGACUUGGAGAAUAGACUUGUGGCUGCCGGACGGGAGAGGGAGGGAGUGGGAGGAAUCGGGAGCUUGGGGUUAUCAGAUACAACUUACAAUAGAUUUACAAGGAGAUCCUGCUGAGUAGCAUUGAGAACUAUGUCUAGAUACUCAUAUUGCAACAGAACAAAGGGUGGAAAAAAAAAUGUAUACAUGUAAGAAUAACUUGAUCCCCAUGCUGUACAGCGGGAAAAAUGAAAUAAAAAUUUUUU